RNAcentral lists this ribosomal RNA (484 nucleotides) under uncultured bacterium. RNAcentral's name for it is "partial 16S ribosomal RNA". It matches the Rfam family "Bacterial small subunit ribosomal RNA", at positions 30 to 507 of the family's 1533-position model. The record is from RNAcentral.
AUUGAACGCUGGCGGCAGGCCUAACACAUGCAAGUCGAGCGGAUGAAGGGAGCUUGCUCCUGGAUUCAGCGGCGGACGGGUGAGUAAUGCCUAGGAAUCUGCCUGGUAGUGGGGGCUAACGUCCGGAAACGGGCGCUAAUACCGCAUACGUCCUGCGGGAGAAAGUGGGGGAUCUUCGGACCUCACGCUAUCAGAUGAGCCUAGGUCGGAUUAGCUAGUUGGUGGGGUAAAGGCCUACCAAGGCGACGAUCCGUAACUGGGCUGAGAGGAUGAUCAGUCACACUGGAACUGAGACACGGUCCAGACUCCUACGGGAGGCAGCAGUGGGGAAUAUUGGACAAUGGGCGAAAGCCUGAUCCAGCCAUGCCGCGUGUGUGAAGAAGGUCUUCGGAUUGUAAAGCACUUUAAGUUGGGAGGAAGGGCAGUAAGUUAAAACCUUGCUGUUUUGACGGUACCAACAGAAUAAGCACCGGCUAACUUCGUG